UGUGUACUUAAAAGAAAAAAAUGCAAAAUUUGGCUGUAAAUUCUUGCAGAAAAAUUAUUGUUUGUGUAAAAAAUUCCAAAAAAGAAAAAAAAAACUCUAAUGUGAUGUAUAGUGUAUUUAUUUUAAUUCAAGCCUGUAUGAAUUUUUUACGAAAUACCUUAUAUUAAUGUGAAUUUUACUGACGCAUCUAAUAAUCUCUUUUCUCUAAUCACAUGAUUAAUUACCUUAUAGAUGUUGAUUAAUUUUGUGCCACUUAUAUUCACGAAAUAUUUAUGAUCAUCAAUAGUAUAACUCCUAUGUGUAUUAAAAGACAUGUAUCCAAAUAAAAUAUGCUGUUGUACAAUUAAAAGUUAUAAUGGACUGAUAAAUAUUUUUUCAUCGUUGAUCAAAAGUUUCGAAUGCAAAUUUUGCGAACAAAAUCACUUUUGAUAUGAAACGCUUCAUAUCCGAAGUGAGACUUUUCUAUAUGAAUUUGAAUAGUCGAACCUCUAAUGCUAUGUGUACCGAACACCGAGGGAAAAGUCCAUCCUAUACAUGACACAUCAUUUCAACUAAUGUGUAUAAGAGAGCUCACCCAACCAUCAACCACUCAAAAGUGACUUCAAAGAAACACUACACAGACUUUUUAAAAACGGCAAUGGCCGCAUAUCGGAUUCUCUAAAAUAGUGUAUUUUUAAAGAAUUCGAUACGAAUGUAGCAUAGAAAGUGAAGAGUCCGUGCAACUUAUCUUCAAACAUAAAUGUACUACAAACUUCAUAUAUACACUAAACAUCUUUAUUGCUCGAAGUAGGAAACAUAAUAACUUUAUUAAACACACUAAUCACAAACAAAAUACACUCAAAACUCAAACAUUAACACAACAUUAACCACUACUUAGGCCAUAGGGUCUAAUACAUAAAAACACACAUUAAUUAGCUUAUAAACACAAGUAAAAUACUUAAUGAGAACCAAUUACUAAAUGACAAGAUUAGCAUAAUCUAACUUGCCUUUGAUAUUAUUAUUUUUUUAACUAUAAAUAUAUAGUAAUUUCUAUAUAUAGAGUCCAUCAAGAGACUCAAAUGCCAAAGGAUAAAGAAGUUGCCCUUAAUUUCAUGAAGAAAAUGGUAAUCACCUUACACCAUGGGACUAAUCAAGAUUAAUAUUAAUUAAUCAUGACUAUUAAUCAAGAUUAAUCUUCAUAAUCUGACGAUCCCAGUCUUUUUUGUUUGCGCAGUAGUUCUUCCUCUUCCUCCAUCGAACGAAAAUUACUAUAUAUUAAGAAAAUUACACUUAGAGAGUACUUUGAUUAACUUAUAAUAAGGAGGGAAUUAAUAUUUGGUGAUGUUCAUGAAGACAAAUAUAUAAAGAGUGAAAUGAAGGUGACUUAAUUAGUAGCUAGGGAGAAUAUAAUUAAUGUGAUCACUUUUAGGUAAAGUACAAAUAAAAAUGAACCAACAUGGGUUGUGGACCUGUGGUGCAGUGGUGAGACUAUUUUAUCCUUAACAAGAGGUCUCGGAUUCGAGCCCUGAGUAUAGAGAAAAUCUUGUUGGGAACGUCACUCCCAGAAUGAGCCCUGCAGUGCGCAAUCCGAAUUAAUCGUGACGAACACUAGGUGGGACACCAAAAAAAAUGAAGGUACCUUAUUAGGGAUAUGCCAUUGGUACCUCUUACAAUAUCAGAAAUUGCUUUAGGUCAUAUAUUUAAAUUAUAACUGCGUCAUUCUAGAAUUAUUUUUAAAAUUUUGUUAUAUAAAUUUCUGAUCUCGUUACUAGCUAUAUAUAUACCUGUACAUAUCUUUAUCUAAAUGUUGAAUAGAAUUGGAAAAAAAGCAGUACACUAUAUAUGUUAUAGUACAAAUUUUAGUGAAAACUUCGAAGCUCGUACUACUAAUAUAUACUCCCGUUGUCCCAAAUUAUCCGUCCCAAAUUGAGAUAACACAUUAAUUAAAAAAAAAUAAUUAACAACAUGUCUAGUUUACCAUAAUACCCUUGUUAAAUGAUGUUUACAAUUUAAUUUGAAGAAAAAGUAAUUAAUGCAAAAGGUAAAACAUGAAAAAAAAAAAUUGUCUUGUCCUAAUUAAUAAAAAAAAGACAAGUAAAAUGGGACAAUAAAUUAGGAAAUUUGGGACUGAGGGAUUACUUUAAUUUUAUUGCGUAAUGCUCUUUAUAAUAGUACAAAUUUUAAUGAAACUUGGAAGCUUGUACUACUAAUAUAUACAUUAAUUUGAUUUAUAUAUCUUUAUAAUAGUACAAAUUUUAAUGAAACUUGGAAGGUUGUACUACUAAUAUAUACAUUAAUUUGAUUUAUAUAUUUUUUUAUAAUAGUACAAAUUUUAAUGAAACUUGAAAGCCUGUACUACUAAUAUAUACAUUAAUUUGAUUUAUAUAUUUUUAUAAUAGUACAAAUUUUAAUGAAAAUUGGAAGCUUGUACUAAUACUAAUAUAUACUUUAAUUUGAUUCGUAAUAUAUACUAAUAUCUAAUAUAUAUAUAAUAUUUGAUCCAAGAAAAUUUGAAUAAAGUAUGUGAUACCCUGUUGAUGAGUUGGUAUAUAUAACUCCUAUAUGUAUAUUAAAGAGUGUUAUAUAUAAUCAAAUAAAAAUAAGUAAUCACACCACGAAAGAUUGUGGUAAAAUGGUACGUAUCCAUCCUUAUUUAGAGAUUUUGAAUUUGAGAAAAAUUGAUCGAAAAUGAAAUCAUUUUUGACAAAGUGCGCACUUUGCCUACAAAUAGAAUUUUUUGCACAAAUUCAGAUUAAUUAAAACCCAAGUGAAUAUCUAAAAAUAAAAUAUGAGUUUAAGAUAUAUACUACAAACUUCAUACAUUAAUUCCAACAACCUUUCUUGCUUUACAUAGCUAGAAAUCAUAAUGCUAUAAAAUAUUAAUUUAAGCUAUAUACGUCGUCAGGUUCAUUAAAAGAAAUUUACAUGUAAAUCUUUUUACACUGUAGAAUUAAAAUAAGACGAGGCUACCUGUUAUAACCAAAAAAAGAUAACCUGAUAAUGGUUGAUAUAUAAAAAUUUCUUACACUAAUGAUGUAUAUAUAUAACCUAAACUCAUAGAACAAACACACUCAAAUAUUAAUACAAUAACACUAAGCCGUUAUUAUUUGGCCAUAGGCCUAAUGCAUAAAACACUUAAUUUUAAAGUAGAUUACAAACACAUACAACAUUUAUAGUAAGAAAAAACUCAACAAAGAACUAAGUAAAGAUAUGAUUAAUUACCAUAAUAAUCUACCUUAACAAUAAUUUUAAGUCCUAAUAUAGAGCCUAUCAAGAGACUCAAAUGCCAAAGGAUAAAGAAGUUGCCCUUAAUCAAGAUUAAUAAUCUUAAUCAUGAUUAUUAAUCAAGAUUCUUCAUGAAUUAAUGAUAAUAGUUCCCACCACACAUCACAAAAAAAAAAAAAAAAAAACAUUUUUUGCGGCCAUCUUUUUAUUAUAUCUUCAUCUAACGAUCUCAGUCUUUUCUGUUUGCGCAAUAGUUCUUCCUCUUCCUCUUCCUCUUCCUCCAUCGAAUGAAAACUACAAUAAUCAAGUACUUUGACUUAUAAGGAUGAAAUGUUUUUUUGUUUUUGAUUUUUCACCUGGUGUUCGGUAUUCACAUUGGAGCCUUGAAUAAUCCGAUUCACGCGUUGCAGGGCUCAGGGGUAGCGCUUCCAACAGAAUUUUCUCACUCAAAUCGAGACAUCUGAUUAAGGAUGAAGCAGUCCUUGAUGUUGGUACAAGGAUGAAAUGUUGGUGAUGUUCGUGAAGGCAAAUAUAAAGAGUGAAAUGAAGGUGACUUAAGUAGGGAGAAUAUGAUCACUUUUAUAUUUAUUUAAAAGAAGAACAAAAUGAAAGUAGGAAAAAAAAUUAAAAAAAUGAGAAGUUAGUUGACAAGUGUAGAAUCUUAUAAGGGAUAUGCCAAUUGGUACCUCUUAUAUUACAAAAAAAAAAAAAAAAAGAAGUUAUUUCUAUUAAUGGCCUCAUAUUCC
RNAcentral lists this long non-coding RNA (3950 nucleotides) under Capsicum annuum. RNAcentral's name for it is "long non-coding RNA (CANN_LNC014994)". Lineage: Eukaryota; Viridiplantae; Streptophyta; Magnoliopsida; Solanales; Solanaceae. The record is from RNAcentral.